This 375-nucleotide transfer-messenger RNA is filed under the name Helicobacteraceae bacterium. It matches the Rfam family "transfer-messenger RNA". Rfam says of the family: Bacterial tmRNA, also known as 10Sa RNA or SsrA, is named for its dual tRNA and mRNA-like properties. Its role is to liberate the mRNA from a stalled ribosome. The record is from RNAcentral. RNAcentral also lists the same sequence under 2 other names. Lineage: Bacteria; Pseudomonadati; Campylobacterota; Epsilonproteobacteria; Campylobacterales; Helicobacteraceae.
GGGGCUGACUUGGUUUCGACAGGAUCAAGACGCUUUUAACUGCAUGUCGGACUGAGCAUUUCCGUUACGCGGCUCAUAAUUGCUUAAACGCAAACAAUACAAAUUACCGCCCAGCUUUAGCAGUAGCUUAAGUUUUAACCCCUCUUAGGAGGUGGGCUGCUUCACCUAUGGACUCUGGAUAAAUAGGAUUCGAAGUAUAACCCUUAUGUAGAUAUAUUUUACGUCUGUCUCAGCGUAAAAUGAACUUUGAGGCUCGUCUUGUGUAGCUUUGCAAGUAGUGUGAAGCAAGAUUAAACUUUAACAACUUCUCUAAGCAUGUAGACGUUGGGAGUAGCUUGGUUUUGGACAAGGGUUCAAUUCCCUUCAGCUCCACCA